AACGAACGCUGGCGGCAGGCUUAACACAUGCAAGUCGAGCGCCCCGCAAGGGGAGCGGCAGACGGGUGAGUAACGCGUGGGAACGUACCUUUUGGUUCGGAACAACUCCGGGAAACUGGAGCUAAUACCGGAUAAGCCCUAACGGGGAAAGAUUUAUCGCCGAAAGAUCGGCCCGCGUCUGAUUAGCUAGUUGGUGAGGUAACGGCUCACCAAGGCGACGAUCAGUAGCUGGUCUGAGAGGAUGAUCAGCCACACUGGGACUGAGACACGGCCCAGACUCCUACGGGAGGCAGCAGUGGGGAAUAUUGGACAAUGGGCGCAAGCCUGAUCCAGCCAUGCCGCGUGAGUGAUGAAGGCCUUAGGGUUGUAAAGCUCUUUUGUCCGGGAAGAUAAUGACUGUACCGGAAGAAUAAGCCCCGGCUAACUUCG
RNAcentral lists this ribosomal RNA (429 nucleotides) under uncultured bacterium. Its description in RNAcentral is "partial 16S ribosomal RNA". It matches the Rfam family "Bacterial small subunit ribosomal RNA", at positions 29 to 505 of the family's 1533-position model. The record is from RNAcentral.